Molecule: RNA transcript, 1956 nt
Organism: Solanum dulcamara
Lineage: Eukaryota; Viridiplantae; Streptophyta; Magnoliopsida; Solanales; Solanaceae
Gene name: mediator of RNA polymerase II transcription subunit 27-like
Exons: 2
Source: RefSeq, a predicted model, not a curated record
UCCUCUUGACAUGCUGCUACAGUUAUCUUUUGGAAUAUGCAAUAGCUGUAAAAAUUGGUUGACAACCCAUUCCAGGGUAUAUUGUUCGUACCGUACAAUUGGACAAAAAAGAUUACAGAAAAUAUGUAGUGAUUGUUUGCUGUAUCAAGUUGUCCUAUAAAGUUGAGUGAUGAACAGUCUCCUCCUUCAAAGUGGAAAAGGAGGCUACAAUCACUCGCACAUCCUCUUAGCUUGAGGCUGUGGUUCAUUUUUGUUUUCCUUCGCUACUUUAUGUUCUUGUUCCUAGUUUUAUGGGGUUCUUAAUUAGAAUUUUAGCUCUGAAGCACGAUAUCAGACAUGAAUUGCAUGUUUGAAGCUUGUUGAUGACAAAAUGAGAUUGUUGAGAACACCUCAUCCACGGAGCAUAAUUGCCAACAGUAAAACCUCCCAAGGUUCAGACCUGCCUAAAUGCAGCAACCAACACUACCAACUCACACGGCGGCGGUACCAGGAGCUUCAGCCGCAGAGUCCAACGAGGCGAGUGGAGAUGCGCCGCCGAAGCAGGUGGCAAUGGCACUGGAGCGGCUGGGGCAGGCGAGUCGACUCAUAGCUGAUAUUAGAAUCGGCGGAGAUCGGCUCCUGGAAGCCCUAUUUGUGGCGGCUCAGCGACCACACUCUUCUGAACCUUUGCAUCUUAUCCUCAAAGAAGAAGCUUCCAUGAGACAACACCUUCAAGACCUUCGUUCUGUUGGAAGGCAGUUAGAAGAUUCUAGUGUUCUCAAUGAUUCCCUUCGAUUACGAAGUAAUUCAUGGGGCCUCCACAUGCCCUUGAUUUGUCCUGACGGUGCUGUUGUUGCAUAUGCAUGGAAGAGACAACUUGCUGGUCAGGCUGGUGCAUCUGCAGUUGAUAGGACCAGGUUAGCUCUCAAGGCCUUUAAUGAUCAGAAAAGACGAUUUUCCCCCACCUUGAUACCAAUUGUGGUAAGGAGGGUGUGACAAAGAAACUUUGUGGUCCUCCAUCAAGUGAUCAAGAAGAAACUUGUGAACUGAAAACAGUGUCUGAAGUUUUGACUCAUCUGAAAAAGGAGGUUCCAAAUGUAAUAACUUUCUCUUACCAGCGUUUGGAUUGGUUGAUGCGAGCUACCUCGUUGCCCUCUUCGACCAGUGAAAAUUCUAUUGAAAUAUCGAAAGAGAAUACUUUCCAAAGCACGAGAACAUUAAGACAAGGAUCAUCUGAUGAUGUUGUUCCAGACAAGGAUGCCAUAAUCGAAUUGUUGAUUCCUUCUGUUUUUAGAGCCAUAGUAUCAGUUUCCCCUGCUGGUUCCUUGGAUCCUGAUGCUGUAGCGUUCUUCUCGCCAGAUGAGGGUGGUAGCUAUGUACAUGCGAGGGGAUUUUCAGUUCAUCAUGUAUUUAGGCACAUCACAGAGCAUGCUGCUAUGGCUUUACAGCAUUUUACAGGUGUCGGUACCAAGACAGCCUUGCUUUCUUUGCUGUUCUGGGUUUGCAGCUACCAGACUUUGUUCUCGAAAGUUUGCAGCAAGUGCAGCCGUCUACUAUCAAUGGACAAAGAAUCUGCUGUGCUAUUGCCUCCGGUUAAUCACCCUUACCGAAAUUUUUAUGCUGGAAACUUCUUGUCAAAGUCUGCCUCAAAAGAGGACCAAAGUGUGGAUUCUACACAGGGCUUUCAUAUCGACUGCUUUUCUGAGGAAGCAUAGAAAAUCAACUUUCUGACACCUGAACAAAAACAUUGUAUUGUACAAAGAAAUUCCAAAUCUAUAGAUAGGCUUUCAACAUUUUGGACCUCUUUCCCAACCAGAUAGGUAGCAACCAGUUUUUGUACUUUCGGUUUCUUGCAUUUAAAUUCGUAAUCGUUUCCUCAUUAUCAUGCUUGAUCUUGAAGAUUGUACUAAGAAACCUCAUAUUUAGAGGCUCUGUUCAACAAAAAUAGAAAUAGGCCGCUGCUUUGAUUCAUGAAAU